ACAAUUUUUAGUGGCGAACGGGUGAGUAACGCGUGAGAAUUUGCCUUUAGGAAGAGGAUAACAAUUGGAAACAGUUGCUAAAACUCUAUAUGCCGUUUACGGUGAAAAAAGUAAUUUGCCUAAAGAGAAGCUCGCGUCUGAUUAGCUAGUUGGUGGGGUAAAGGCCUACCAAGGCGACGAUCAGUAGCUGGUCUGAGAGGACGAUCAGCCACACUGGAACUGAGACACGGUCCAG
This 235-nucleotide ribosomal RNA is filed under the name uncultured bacterium. RNAcentral describes it as "partial 16S ribosomal RNA". It matches the Rfam family "Bacterial small subunit ribosomal RNA", at positions 85 to 334 of the family's 1533-position model. The record is from RNAcentral.